GUGAGCGUAGCUCAGUCUGGUUAGAGCGCUGGACUGUGGCUCCAGUGGUCGGGGGUUCGAAUCCCCUCGCUCACCCCA
RNAcentral lists this transfer RNA (78 nucleotides) under subsurface metagenome. RNAcentral describes it as "tRNA-His". It matches the Rfam family "tRNA". From Rfam's summary of the family: Transfer RNA (tRNA) molecules are approximately 80 nucleotides in length. Their secondary structure includes four short double-helical elements and three loops (D, anti-codon, and T loops). The record is from RNAcentral.